GUUAUGAAACAAGAGAAGGACUUAAUGUCACGGUACCCAAUUUUCUGCCCCGGACUCCACGGCUGUUACUAGAG
Molecule: unclassified non-coding RNA, 74 nt
Filed under: Candidatus Scalindua brodae
Lineage: Bacteria; Pseudomonadati; Planctomycetota; Candidatus Brocadiia; Candidatus Brocadiales; Candidatus Scalinduaceae
Description: RNA (34-MER) from Candidatus Scalindua brodae (PDB 7XSQ, chain D)
Source: RNAcentral